UUUAAUUUUUUUUUUUUUUUGAAAAACCCUUUUUCGCUCAAAGAAAUAAAGUAAAAGAGAGUGAAUAUUCAUAAAUGGGAGCAGUGUACGAAUGAUAAAUGAAAAUAGGUAAGAAUAAUAAUUAUUAAGUAAAUUUAAUAUAUAUUUAAUCUUAUAUGAAAUAAACUUAAUGAUCAGCUAAUCAAAUAUUUAUUUAUAAUGAGAUUUGUAUAAAAUUAUUAAAUUUAUUAUUAUAUGAGUUGAAAUUUUUCAUACUUACAUCCUUAAAUCAUUUUUAGGAUGAAUGGUAAAUAAUUACUCUUAUGGGUGCAUUAAUUGAAUUUUGUUGCAUCCAUUCAUGGAGGUAUUAUAAUCCACAAAUCACUAUACAUUAUGAUCGAAUCUAAGAAAAUAUGGCUAGGUUUUUAAUGUGUACUUUGACAGCGACCCUAGAUGCCUAAAGUUAAAAAUAUCUACAAUGUGAAAGAAUUGUUAGAUUGUAGUGCUCAAAUGUAGAUACAUGUUGCUGUUAUUGUAACUUUGUGUUCACUCUCAGGAACAUCGAUAUUUUUUGAAGAAUAAGAAAAGGCAUAACUAAAAACUUUUUAUAAGACAAUGAAAUCUUCAAUCCUGUUACUUUUUUUUUUUUUAACUGUUU
RNAcentral lists this unclassified non-coding RNA (637 nucleotides) under Hevea brasiliensis (rubber tree). Lineage: Eukaryota; Viridiplantae; Streptophyta; Magnoliopsida; Malpighiales; Euphorbiaceae. The record is from RNAcentral.